Russula brevipes is the source of this 133-nucleotide non-coding RNA. The record is from the annotation of a GenBank genome assembly. Lineage: Eukaryota; Fungi; Basidiomycota; Agaricomycetes; Russulales; Russulaceae.
UCCCUGGUAGUAUAUCGGAUUAGUACACGCGCCUGUCAGCAUUGACGCGGGCGCGCGCGCGCGCCCAUUCGCGCGCCGCGCGUGCCCACGUGAGAUCGCGCGCGAGAGCGGGGUUCGACUCCCCGCCAGGGAG